GCAUUUGCCGGCGUGCUAAUACAUGCAAGUCGAGCGAACGGAUAAGGAGCUUGCUCCUUUGAAGUUAGCGGCGGACGGGUGAGUAACACGUGGGUAACCUACCUAUAAGACUGGAAUAACUUCGGGAAACCGGAGCUAAUGCCGGAUAACAUAUAGAACCGCAUGGUUCUAUAGUGAAAGAUGGUUUUGCUAUCACUUAUAGAUGGACCCGCGCCGUAUUAGCUAGUUGGUAAGGUAAUGGCUUACCAAGGCGACGAUACGUAGCCGACCUGAGAGGGUGAUCGGCCACACUGGAACUGAGACACGGUCCAGACUCCUACGGGAGGCAGCAGUAGGGAAUCUUCCGCAAUGGGCGAAAGCCUGACGGAGCAACGCCGCGUGAGUGAUGAAGGUUUUCGGAUCGUAAAACUCUGUUAUUAGGGAAGAACAAAUGCGUAAGUAACUGUGCGCAUCUUGACGGUACCUAAUCAGAAAGCCACGGCUAACUACGUGCCAGCAGCCGCGGUAAUACGUAGGUGGCAAGCGUUAUCCGGAAUUAUUGGGCGUAAAGCGCGCGUAGGCGGUUUCUUAAGUCUGAUGUGAAAGCCCACGGCUCAACCGUGGAGGGUCAUUGGAAACUGGGAAACUUGAGUGCAGAAGAGGAAAGUGGAAUUCCAUGUGUAGCGGUGAAAUGCGCAGAGAUAUGGAGGAACACCAGUGGCGAAGGCGACUUUCUGGUCUGUAACUGACGCUGAUGUGCGAAAGCGUGGGGAUCAAACAGGAUUAGAUACCCUGGUAGUCCACGCCGUAAACGAUGAGUG
Molecule: ribosomal RNA, 800 nt
Filed under: Staphylococcus succinus
Lineage: Bacteria; Bacillati; Bacillota; Bacilli; Caryophanales; Staphylococcaceae
Description: bacterial SSU rRNA
Rfam family: Bacterial small subunit ribosomal RNA
Source: RNAcentral